This 2238-nucleotide long non-coding RNA is filed under the name Marmota monax (woodchuck). The record is from RNAcentral. Lineage: Eukaryota; Metazoa; Chordata; Mammalia; Rodentia; Sciuridae.
GGAUCUCAGAACUGCAAAGGCCAGAGGGUGACAUUUAACUGACAGGGUGAGGCAGAAAUAAUAUAAUGGGGAAUAAAGCUGGUUUAGCAAUCAGUGCACCUGACCUUGAGGGAUCUAAGGCAGUGGCUAUGAUUCGCUGUGUUCAUCAGCUUUUGUAUCGCUGUAACCAGAAUUCCCUACAAGAGCACCUUAGAGGAGGGAAAGAUUAUGUGGGCUCACAGUUCCAGAGGUCUCAGUCCAUAGACGGCUGACUCCACUGCUCUGGGCCCACAGUGAGGCAGCACGUCACAGGGAAGGGACCAGCAGAGGAGAACUGCUCAGCUCCUGAGGGGGUCAGAAAGCAGAGAGGGGUGGGGGAAGGGGACACAGGGAAGUUCCACCUUUCCAGGGCACGCCCCAGUGACCCACCUCCUCCAGCCGUGACCCACCUGCUACAGUGACCACCCAGUCAUUCAGAUUAAGAGGGACUGAAUAGGUUACAGCUCUUGCAAUCCGAUCACUUUACCUCUGAACAUUCCUGCAUUAGCACAGGAGAUUUCUGGUGGGAGGGACACCUUACAUCCAAACCAUAGCACAUGCCUAGGAAAAAGGUAGAUAGGAACUUGUGUAAGGUAUCACUCAACUUGCACAAUCAGGAAACAAUAAAUCAAAUUAAAAAAAAUAAUGACAGUCCGCCCUCAGAAAGCUAAUGCUGCUGGUAUUCCAGUGAUGGUGACACUCAGAUGCCCCACCGACCUCCCUAAAGGCUCUUACCACCACAGAGGUCCCAAACCAGCUUGAGUGGUCUGUGGUCCAUCCACAGUGUGGAUAGGUCCUUCCAGGGAAGACUGUGCAACUCCAUCGUGAGUAUACAGAGGAUGUCUUCGUCCAAAGGGAGUUCCGAGAGCUGCUGAAGGGACAGGUGUCACUGUCAAGGUCAAGGGGUUAACAGAUGCAGGUGCGAUCCCCAUCGCACCCGUCAACCCAUCAGCAGAAGUCAUUUGGAUUAUGGUGGGUGACAGUGGCUGUUUCAGCCUCGGCCAGCGCCAGCCCGAUUGCACUUGCUGGGCUAAACGUGGAGAGCUCCCUGGAGCAGAGCAAGCAUCAACUUCUACAGAGCAAGGACAGCCAUACACAUGCCACUGGCCCUGGGUUAACUCUCCUCUAUGAGAACAUAGUCCACGGGGACCUUGAUCGUCAUGACAUGCCCUGGGACACACAGCGGUUCACCCUAGCAAUAAAAUGGUGCUAUCUGGACCCACUGAGCAGGCGGUGCCAAGUCCUCUGGGUGUUCCAGUAUAACGCAGGUUGCUAGAAGAUUGGCCUAUGGAAAGUCGGGGUUCUGCCACAUUCUGUGUGUGGGUUCAGUUGUCUGGAACAGAGGGGCUGUUAGCGAACAGCGUGGCCCUGACCAUUCAGAAAGAGACAGUGUGCUUGGUGGCUCUGUGGGUUUUGGAGGCAGCAUAAGCUGCAAUUGAAAACACCGUCCUGAUCCAUUUCUUGGGGUCCUAAGGGUACUCAUGCGGCUGCAAGUCUGAGUGGGGUCAAGAGGAAGGGUGAGCUCUGCCAUAGAGGGAGGCUGGCGGAAGUCACCCUGCAGAUUCCCCAGCGUGGAGGCCCCAUAGCUCCCUGGGGAGGUCUCAGUGCAGACUUAGGAUCCUGUAGCCAGGCCAGCUGUUCUGUGGCAGAGGACUGAUUGCUGUUUAAAAAUCACUUCCUGGCAUGUUAUUGUGCCUCCAUAGAGACCGAACAGCCACAGAAUAGCAAGCGGCUCUCCGAGUGAAGUCACCCCUUGAGGGUUAGAUGCUCUGAUGCAGAGUCAGUCCUGAGGCUGAGCAGACAUGGCAAGGAUCGCUUACUGUGUGAUGGAAGGAGACCGUUUAGAACUGCAUGGAACAAAGUUGGAGGGCACAAGUAAGAACCAGGAGCUAGGAGGCUGGACCUUCUUGUCCCCACCUCUCCAUGAACAGACGCUUGUGACAGCAUGGACAUUCCAUCUGGUCACCCAACAGAGGAGAAAUUCAGACAUGGUUCACAGAUAGGUUGAGAUAUUUAAUGUUGUUGUGUAAUAAUCAAUCAUAUCUAGCAUCUCCAUGUAAUUAUUUAUACUCUUAGCAUAUGUAUUAAAAUGUGGUAAAAUUAUAAUAUUGUCUGUUUCUGCUCAUGGCACUGGACUGGGCUUCACUGCAGUUCCAUGCUGGAGGACUCCCAAAGGACCAGGGCUACUUCCAGGGACCCGCUUCCUGGGGUAACUCGCUG